UCAAAAUUGGAGAAAUUAGGGCCAGCAAGGUAUAUACCUCCAUUCCCCAUUUGAUGUAAUCUGGUGACUCACAAGCCUUGUAUUCAUCAACCAAACUUUCUAUAAUAUCCCUUGAUUCAUCAAACUCUGAAAGAUCAUUGUCCUGUUCAGAUUGCACAAUAGAUUAGGAUAAAAUAUCAACAUAAUAGGAUUGCUUUUGUAUCCAACUGCAAAAUAUUAUUUCAUUUUGGAGGCAAAAGACAUGUAGCAAAAGUAACAAACAAUUUACACUAACUAUUUUAUUCAUGGAAUUCACAUCUUUUAACCAAUCUAUUUUAGUAACACAUAUCCUUUAUACAAAUAUGCAGGGAUGCAUGUAAAUAGACAUGUUACAUGUAUAUGCACAAAACCCAUGCAUACAGGUGCAUGCAUAUGUCACGCCCUGGGCGGGCGCACCAGGCACAUCAGCCAGACCAGCAGGCGAGCCAGCAGCUAAGGCCCGCAGACCAGGCGUGCUGGCGGGUAUCAGUGCGCAAAGCCUAUCAAACGAGCUCCAAACGCCCGCCCAUCUUGCAUGCCAACUCAUGAGACCAAGGCCUGGCAUUUGGGCUGCCCGCACCACAUCCAGAAGGGCCCGAGGUGCUGGAUACGCAAAGGAAGCUUCUGGAACCAGGCAGGAUCAGCAUCAGCAUCCUGGCAGAUUUGGUUGACCCUAAAAAUCAGGAACCAGCAUCUUGAUUAAAUGUAAUCCCAUGAUUGUAGCCUUUAUUUUAGGGAUUUGCCAUUAAGUUGUAGCCGGAGCCUCAACUAUAAAUAGAGGGCUGCUCCACCCUCAUUUGUACACCAUCAAACACUUCUAUUUCAGUGAAUACAAGAGCAUUUCCAGAAUUCUGUUUUCCUGUCCUAUUUCUCUUUAACUUGCGUAAUCAGCCCUUCCCUUUGUUCUAGUGCCCGCACGCUUGUGUUUUAGGCUGACUUAGGCAUAAAGGACGAGAUUCCAAGCCUAAGGCCGCACGGAUUCUGAGUCUAAGGUCGGAGCCCGUGACAGUUGGUAUCAGAGCAAGUUCGAUUCUGCGUGUUUGUGUUGUGCAGGUUAGAUCGUGAUUGAGGAGAUGGCAUCCCAAAGCGACGUUGCUAGCCAACAACCAGAGGCCCAGGAGCAUGGGCGAGGAAGAGGCAAGAAAGCUUGUUCUAGAGAUAUCUGGUCUACUAUGGACGGUAGGCUGGCCAAGGUGGAGGUGACCAUAGGCGACAUGGGGGAGAAGCUGGAGGAAGUAGAAACUCACAUUGCAUCGCUAGACUCCAUGGGGGAGGAGAUCCAAAGUGAGCUAGCAGCUGCUCUCAACAAUGGCCUGGAUGAGAUCACCCGAAAGAAUGAAUCCUUGGAGGCGGAAGUUCUGACUUUGCGAGAUGGCAUGGAGGCCAUGCGCCAGCGGAUGGAGGAGCUUACCAGCGAGCUCGUUACUUGCAAGACUGCCAUUGGGAAUGGCAUGUUUGCUGGAGUGUCCAGAUCCAGAUUGGAUGUCCCCAAGCCUAAGGAGUUCAAGGGGACUAGGGCGGCCAAGGAAGUAGACAAUUACCUUUGGGGUAUGGAGCAGUACUUCCAGGCCAUGGGCAUGCAAGACGAGGCGAUAAAGGUAAGCACCGCUGCUAUGUAUCUCACUGAUGUAGCCUUAUUGUGGUGGAGGCGCAGGUGUGAUGAUGUCAGGCGUGGGAACGCCAAGAUUGGAACCUGGGCAGAGUUCCAAAAAGAGUUCAGAGAACAAUUUUACCCGGAGUAUGCCGAUGAUGAGGCGCGGGCAAAGUUGCGCAGGUUGAGCCAGCAAGGGAACAUAAGAGAGUAUGUUCAAAAAUUCUCUGAACUGAUGCUACAGAUCUCGGAUCUAGGCGAGAAGGACGCAUUCUUUGCUUUCAUGGAUGGGCUGAAGCUGUGGGUGAAGCAUGAGCUACAAAGGAGGGGAGUUCAUGACUUGGCUAAAGCCAUGACCACUGCCGAGGCAUUGAUAGAGUUCAAGCCUCUGAACAAGUUCGAGUCUACCAAGCCCAAGGGUAAGGGCAGGGACGAUAGGGACCGGAAGAAGCAGUCCAAUGGGAAGGACCGUGACCGGGAGUCCAAGGAUGGAGACCGAGACCGUUCAACCAAGGAUGGCGAGAGGAAGCCAUCAGCAGGCAAGUGGAAAGCAAAAGGGGACCGAGAGCCACUAGCAUGUUACCUAUGUGGAGGGAGCCACAUAGCACGCAAUUGCCCGCAGAAGGGCAAGCUGGCUGCUGUAGACAGGGAGUCUGACGAGGAGCCAGAGUCAGGGGCAGCAAAGCUUGGGUCGUUGGUGCUCAAUGCUGUCCAGAGUAAGGGGGGCCGCAAGCCAAAGGGCUUGAUGUUUGCGGAUCUGAUGGUUGCGGGUCAGAAGGUGAGCGCACUGGUGGACACAGGUGCCUCACAUCUUUUUAUUUCAGGUGAUGGAGCCCGGAAGCUCGGACUAAAGGUGCAGAAAGGGACUGGUACCAUUAAGACGGUGAACUCCAAGGAAGUUCCAGCCAUUGGAGUAGCAUGGGGAGUGGAGUUGCAGCUUGGAGAUUGGAAAGGCAAGGAGACCAUUGAGGUAAUACCCCUUGACGACUAUGAGUUUGUGAUUGGGUUGGAUUUCCUUGUUCGGAUUAACGCCCUCCUUGUGCCUUUUGCCGAUUGUGUUUGCAUCUUGGAUGCACGGUGCCAAUGCCUAGUACCAUUGAGGAGAGGGUCUGGAGUUGGGUCACGGGUGGUGUCAGCCAUCCAAUUUGCCAAGGCGGUAAGCAGACAAGAAGACACCUUCUUGGCAGCCCUGAAAUAUGAUGAACCAAGGGAGAAGGAGACCGAGUCACCCUUGGAGGUGCUAAAGGUGCUGAAGACCUUUAGUGAUGUGAUGCCCGCAAAGCUGCCUAGCAAGCUACCACCUAAGAGGGAGGUGGACCACAAGAUCGAGCUGGUGUCCGAGGCCAAGCCACCAGCCAGAGCCCCUUACCGAAUGUCUCCACCAGAGUUGGAGGAGUUGAGGAAGCAGCUCAAGGAGUUAGUUGAUGCUGGCUUCAUCAGGCCAUCGAAAGCACCCUAUGGUGCACCGGUUCUAUUCCAGCGCAAGCAUGAUGGGUCGUUGCGGCUGUGCAUAGACUACCGGGCUUUGAACAAGCUGACCAUUAAGAACAAGUACCCCAUCCCACUCAUUGCGGACUUGUUCGAUCAACUUGGGAGCGCAAGGUGGUUCACCAAGCUGGAUUUGAGGUCAGGCUAUUAUCAAGUCAGGAUCGCGGAGGGAGAUGAGCAAAAGACAGCAUGUGUCACUCGGUAUGGUUCGUAUGAGUUCUUGGUGAUGCCUUUCGGACUCACGAAUGCCCCAGCAACAUUCUGCACCCUUAUGAACAAGGUACUUCAGUCAUUCCUUGAUCGGUUUGUUGUGGUUUAUUUGGAUGACAUUGUGAUCUACAGCCAGACUUUGGGAGAGCAUGUAGACCACUUGAGACAGGUGUUCGAGGUGUUGCGGGCGCACAAGCUGUUUGUCAAGAGGGAGAAGUGCUCAUUCGCCCAGCAGGAGAUCCCAUUCCUUGGCCACAUAGUGGGAGGUGGCAGGAUACGCAUGGAUGAAGGCUAGAUAGACGCCAUCCUGGAGUGGCAACCGCCAGCCAAGGUCACUGAGUUGAGAUCGUUCCUUGGGCUGGUUAACUACUACAGGCGCUUCAUCAAGGGUCACUCAGCAAUAGCCACGCCAUUGACUGACUUGCUCAAGAAAGGGAGAGCAUGGGAGUGGAGCGCAGGGUGCCAGGAAGCCUUUGACAGGUUGAAGCGGGCUGUGACCGAGGAGCCAGUCUUGGCCUUGCCAGACCAUGCCAAGCCGUAUGAGGUGCAUACGGAUGCAUCAGACUUUGCCAUAGGGGGCGUGUUGAUGCAAGAGGGACGUCCAGUCGCGUUUGAGAGCAGGAAGCUGAACGAGACUGAACGCAAGUACACGGUCCAAGAGAAGGAGAUGACUGCAGUGGUGCACUGCUUGCGCACUUGGCGCCAUUACCUGUUGGGGUCGAGGUUCGUGGUGAGGACGGACAAUGUGGCAACCAGCUACUUCUAGACGCAGAAGAAGCUGUCCCCCAAGCAGGCGAGAUGGCAAGAUUUUCUUGCGGAAUUUGACUUUCAGAUGGAGUACAAGCCGGGGCGGGCGAACCUAGUGGCAGACGCCCUGAGCAGAAAGGCUAACCUUGCUGCCAUUAGCCAACCAGAGGGGUCACUGGUGCCGCGCAUCAAGGAGGGACUUACGCAUGAUCCUACAGCCAAGGCUUUGAUGGAGUACGCCCAGCAAGGUAAGACUAGGCGGUUUUGGUUGCAGGAUGGGUUGCUGUACACCAGAGGCAGUAGACUGUUUGUGCCGCAGCACGGGAAGCUCCGCAAGGAAGUUUUGCAAGAGUGUCAUGAUUCAAGGUGGGCUGGACACCCAGGAGUGAGCCGCACCUUGGCACUGAUCGAGGACCGGUACUACUGGCCGCACAUGAGGGACGAUGUGGAGGCCUAUGUGAAGACUUGUCUUGUGUGCCAACAAGACAAGGUGGAGCUCAAGAAACCAGGGGGUCUCUUGGAGCCAUUGCCAGUGCCAGAGCGACCAUGGGAGAGUGUUUCUCUGGACUUUAUAGUCGGUCUACCCAAGACAGAGGGGUUUGGAAGCAUCAUGGUGUGGUGGACAGGUUUUCCAAGUAUGGAAUCUUCAUUCCAGCAACCAAGGAGUGCCCAGCCGAGGAGGCAGCUCGAUUGUUCCUGAAGAACAUGUGAAGUACUGGGGAGUGCCGAGGACCAUUGUUAGUGAUCGGACGGGCGUUUCACGAGCAGGUUCUGGACUGAGUUGUUCAAGCUGUUGGGGUCAGACUUGAACUUUUCCACCAGCAUGCAUCCGCAGACCGAUGGGCAGACAGAACGUGUGAACGGACUACUGGAGGUCUACCUCAGGCACUAUGUGAGUGCCACACAAAGAGACUGGCCAAAGCUACUGGAUAUUGCGCAGUUUUCCUACAACUUGCAAAGGAGCGAGGCAACGAACCAGAGCCCAUUUGAGGUUGUGACAGGGCAACAACCACUAACACCCGGUUCGAUUGCUGCAGGUUAUACAGGGCCGAAUCCAGCAGCAUACAAGUUUGCCAAGGCAUGGCAGGAGCAAACUGACUUGGCCAGAGUUUGUCUACACAAGGCGGCCAAGAGGUCGAAGAAGUGGGCAGACCAGCAUAGGCGGGAUGUGCAGUUUCAGGUUGGAGACUUUGUGUUGGUGAAGCUGCAUCCCAUUGUGCGCCAUAGGGGGCUGCACAAAGGCCUAGUCCGGAGGUAUGAGGGACCUUUCCAAGUAGUCAAGAGAGUAGGCAAGGUUGCCUACAAGCUGGAUAUGCCACCCAAGCCGAGGGUACACCCGGUGUUCCAUGUGAGCAUGCUCAAGCCGUUCCAUGAGGAUGAGGGAGAUCCAAGACGGGCAGAGUCAAAGCGUGCACCGUUGGGAACAAGGGCCUCAUAUGAGAAGGAGGUCCACAGCAUUAUGGCUGACCGGGAGGUGAGACGGAAGAACUAUCAACCAAGACAUGAGUACUUGGUGCGCUGGAAGGGACUUCCAGACAGUGAGGCGAGCUGGGAACCAGCAGAGGACUUAUGGCAGUUCGGGGACCAGAUCAGGCAGUACCAUGCAGAAGACGCAACGAGGCGUUGCGCAAUCAGGUGGGGGAGAAUGUCACGCCCUGGCGGGCGCGCCAGGCACAUCAGCCAGACCAGCAGGCGAGCCAGCAGCUAAGGCCCGCAGACCAGGCGUGCUGGCGGGUAUCAGUGCGCAAAGCCUAUCAAACGAGCUCCAAACGCCCGCCCAUCUUGGCAGGCCAACUCCAUGAGACCAAGGCCUGGCAUUUUGGCUGCCCGCACCACAUCCAGAAGGGCCCGAGGUGCUGGAUACGCAAGGGAAGCUUCUGGAACCAGGCAGGAUCAGCAUCAGCAUCCUGGCAGAUUUGGUUGACCCUGAAAAUCAGGAACCAGCAUCUUGAUUAAAUGUAAUCCCAUGAUUGUAGCCUUUAUUUUAGGGAUUUGCCAUUAAGUUGUAGCUGGAGCCUCAACUAUAAAUAGAGGGCUGCUCCACCCUCAUUUGUACACCAUCAAACACUUCUGUUUCAGUGAAUACAAGAGCAUUUCCAGAAUUCUGUUUUCCUGUCCUGUUUCUCUUUAACUUGCGUAAUCAGCCCUUCCCUUUGUUCUAGUGCCCGCACGCUUGUGUUUUAGGCUGACUUAGGCAUAAAGGACGAGAUUCCAAGCCUAAGGCCGCAAGGAUUCUGAGUCUAAGGUCGGAGCCCGUGACACAUACAUGUUCAUAAGAACACACAGAAAGUAUAUUGACAGCAGCCAUAUAUUAGAAACUGG
RNAcentral lists this long non-coding RNA (6376 nucleotides) under Durio zibethinus. Its description in RNAcentral is "long non-coding RNA (DZIB_LNC000956)". The record is from RNAcentral. Lineage: Eukaryota; Viridiplantae; Streptophyta; Magnoliopsida; Malvales; Malvaceae.